Molecule: ribosomal RNA, 406 nt
Filed under: uncultured bacterium
Lineage: Bacteria
Description: partial 16S ribosomal RNA
Rfam family: Bacterial small subunit ribosomal RNA
Source: RNAcentral
AUUGAACGCUGGCGGCAGGCCUAACACAUGCAAGUCGAACGAGUGGCGGACGGGUGAGUAAUGUCUGGGAACCUGCCCGCUGGGGGGGGAUAACUACUGGCAACGGUAGAUAAUACCGCCUACCAUCGGAUGUGCCCAGAUGGGAUUAGCUAGUAGGGGGGGUAACGGCUCACCUAGGCGACGAUCCCUAGCUGGUCUGAGAGGAUGACAAGCCACACUGGAACUGAGACACGGUCCAGACUCCGACGGGAGGCAGCAGUGGGGAAUAUUGCACAAGGGGCGCAAGCCUGAUGCAGCCAUGCCGCGUGUAUGAAGAAGGCCUUCGGGUUGUAAAGGACUGUCAGCGAGGAGGCGUUACUCGCAGAAGAAGCACCGGCUAACUCCGUGCCAGCAGCCGCGGUAAUAC